Molecule: ribosomal RNA, 545 nt
Filed under: uncultured bacterium
Lineage: Bacteria
Description: bacterial SSU rRNA
Rfam family: Bacterial small subunit ribosomal RNA
Source: RNAcentral
UGCGANUGGGCGAAGCCUGACGCAGCGACGCCGCGUGGGGGAUGAAGCUUCUCGGAGUGUAAACCCCUUUCGACCCGGACGAAACACCCGCAAGGGUUUGACGGUACGGGUAUAAGAAGCCCCGGCUAACUACGUGCCAGCAGCCGCGGUAAGACGUAGGGGGCCAGCGUUGCUCGGAAUUACUGGGCGUAAAGGGUUCGUAGGCGGUGUGGCAAGUCGGGAGUGAAAUCUCUGGGCUUAACUCAGAGGCUGCUUCCGAAACUGCCGUGCUAGAGUGCGGGAGAGGCGAGUGGAAUUGCAGGUGUAGCGGUGAAAUGCGUAGAUAUCUGCAGGAACACCCGUGGCGAAGGCGGCUCGCUGGACCGCAACUGACGCUGAGGAACGAAAGCUAGGGGAGCAAACAGGAUUAGAUACCCUGGUAGUCCUAGCCCUAAACCAUCAGGACUUGGGGUGCAUCCCGUUCGGGGUGCGUCCCGUAGCUAACGCGUUAAGUCCUGCGCCUGGGGAGUACGGUCGCAAGGCUGAAACUCAAAAGAAUUGACGGA